Molecule: long non-coding RNA, 283 nt
Filed under: Elaeis guineensis (African oil palm)
Lineage: Eukaryota; Viridiplantae; Streptophyta; Magnoliopsida; Arecales; Arecaceae
Description: long non-coding RNA (EGUI_LNC064032)
Source: RNAcentral
AUGGUACUACUACUCAUAGUGAGGCUACUGAAGUUUGAUUGAUACAUAAAUAUGGAUCUCAAUGAGCCCUUGUAAUGGAUAUUGGCGACAGUUGGUCCACUGUAAAAGUAGGAUACAUAUCAAAAUAGGAUUUAUCGACCUUGAUAGAGAAGAGUGAUCCUAUAAAAUUUGAGAGGCUAAGUCUAAGAAUUUAUGGCCACAGCUGUGUGAUUGACGAAAAAGAGUUUUCAUAGAAGUCACAACUAGACUUGAGCUAAUUGAAUCUAUCAUAUGACUGAUAUUG